AACGCUAGCUACAGGCUUAACACAUGCAAGUCGAGGGGCAGCAUGAACUUAGCUUGCUAAGUUUGAUGGCGACCGGCGCACGGGUGAGUAACACGUAUCCAACCUGCCGAUGACUCGGGGAUAGCCUUUCGAAAGAAAGAUUAAUACCCGAUGGCAUAGUUCUUCCGCAUGGUAGAACUAUUAAAGAAUUUCGGUCAUCGAUGGGGAUGCGUUCCAUUAGGUUGUUGGCGGGGUAACGGCCCACCAAGCCUUCGAUGGAUAGGGGUUCUGAGAGGAAGGUCCCCCACAUUGGAACUGAGACACGGUCCAACUCCUACGGGAGGCAGCAGUGAGGAAUAUUGGUCAAUGGACGAGAGUCUGAACCAGCCAAGUAGCGUGAAGGAUGACUGCCCUAUGGGUUGUAAACUUCUUUUAUACGGGAAUAAAGUGAGGCACGCGUGCCUUUUUGUAUGUACCGUAUGAAUAAGGAUCGGCUAACUCCGUGCCAGCAGCCGCGGUAAUACGGAGGAUCCGAGCGUUAUCCGGAUUUAUUGGGUUUAAAGGGAGCGUAGGCGGACGCUUAAGUCAGUUGUGAAAGUUUGCGGCUCAACCGUAAAAUUGCAGUUGAUACUGGGUGUCUUGAGUACAGUAGAGGCAGGCGGAAUUCGUGGUGUAGCGGUGAAAUGCUUAGAUAUCACGAAGAACUCCGAUUG
This 692-nucleotide ribosomal RNA is filed under the name uncultured bacterium. RNAcentral's name for it is "bacterial SSU rRNA". It matches the Rfam family "Bacterial small subunit ribosomal RNA", at positions 32 to 715 of the family's 1533-position model. The record is from RNAcentral.